Molecule: ribosomal RNA, 532 nt
Filed under: uncultured bacterium
Lineage: Bacteria
Description: bacterial SSU rRNA
Rfam family: Bacterial small subunit ribosomal RNA
Source: RNAcentral
AGAGUUUGAUCAUGGCUCAGGACGAACGCUGGCGGCGUGCUUAACACAUGCAAGUGGAGCGACGAAGCGGGCUUCGGCCCGUGGCAGAGCCGCGAACGGGUGAGUAACACGUGGGUAACGUGCCCCAAUAACUGGGACAACCCGGGGAAACCCGGGCUAAUACCGGAUGUGCUCCUUCCACAUCAGUGGAUUGAGUAAAGGUAGCUUCGGCUUCCGUAUUGGGAUCGGCCCGCGGCGCAUUAGCUUGUUGGUGAGGUAACGGCUUACCAAGGCGACGAUGCGUAGCUGGUCUGAGAGGACGAUCAGCCACACUGGGACUGAGACACGGCCCAGACUCCUACGGGAGGCAGCAGUGGGGAAUCUUGCGCAAUGCGCGAAAGCGUGACGCAGCAACGCCGCGUGGGGGAAGAAGGCCUUCGGGUUGUAAACCCCUUUCAGGAGGGACGAAGCCUGGCUGGUGAAUAGCCUGUCCAGGUGACGGUACCUCCACAAGAAGCCCCGGCUAACUACGUGCCAGCAGCCGCGGUAAUAC